GACGAACGCUGGCGGCGUGCUUAACACAUGCAAGUCGAACGGUAAGGCCCUUCGGGGUACACGAGUGGCGAACGGGUGAGUAACACGUGGGUGAUCUGCCCUGCACUUCGGGAUAAGCCUGGGAAACUGGGUCUAAUACCGGAUAGGACUCCGGACUGCAUGGUCUGGGGUGGAAAGCUUUUGCGGGGUGGGAGGGGCCCGCGGCCUAUCAGCUUGUUGGUGGGGUGAUGGCCUACCAAGGCGACGACGGGUAGCCGGCCUGGGAGGGUGACCGGCCACACUGGGACUGAGAUACGGCCCAGACUCCUACGGGAGGCAGCAGUGGGGAAUAUUGCACAAUGGGCGCAAGCCUGAUGCAGCGACGCCGCGUGAGGGAUGACGGCCUUCGGGUUGUAAACCUCUUUCAGCAUCGACGAAGCGAAAGUGACGGUAGGUGCAGAAGAAGGGCCGGCCAACUACGUGCCAGCCGCCGCAGUAA
This 478-nucleotide ribosomal RNA is filed under the name uncultured bacterium. Its description in RNAcentral is "partial 16S ribosomal RNA". It matches the Rfam family "Bacterial small subunit ribosomal RNA", at positions 28 to 523 of the family's 1533-position model. The record is from RNAcentral.